AUUGAACGCUGGCGGCAUGCCUAACACAUGCAAGUCGAGCGGAUGAAGGGAGCUGGCUCCUGGAUUCAGCGGCGGACGGGUGAGUAAUGCCUAUGAAUCUGCCUGGUAGUGGGGGAUAACGUCCGGAAGCGGGCGCUAAUACCGCAUACGUCCUGAGGGAGAAAGUGGGGGAUCUUCGGACCUCACGCUAUCAGAUGAGCCUAGGUCGGAUUAGCUAGUUGGUGGGGUAAAGGCCUACCAAGGCGACGAUCCGUAACUGGUCUGAGAGGAUGAUCAGUCACACUGGAACUGGGCCACGGACAAGACUCCUACGGGAGGCAGCAGUGGGGAAUAUUGGACAAUGGGCGAAAGCCUGAUCCAGCCACGCCGCGUGUGUGAAGAAGGUCCUCGGAUUGUAAAGACCUUUAAGUUGGGAGGAAGGGCAGUAAGUUAAUACCUUGCUGUUUUGACGUUACCAACAGAAUAAGCACCGGCUAACUUCGUG
RNAcentral lists this ribosomal RNA (484 nucleotides) under uncultured bacterium. RNAcentral describes it as "partial 16S ribosomal RNA". It matches the Rfam family "Bacterial small subunit ribosomal RNA", at positions 30 to 507 of the family's 1533-position model. The record is from RNAcentral.